Molecule: ribosomal RNA, 1488 nt
Filed under: Lactiplantibacillus plantarum
Lineage: Bacteria; Bacillati; Bacillota; Bacilli; Lactobacillales; Lactobacillaceae
Description: bacterial SSU rRNA
Rfam family: Bacterial small subunit ribosomal RNA
Source: RNAcentral
AGUUUGAUCAUGGCUCAGGACGAACGCUGGCGGCGUGCCUAAUACAUGCAAGUCGAACGAACUCUGGUAUUGAUUGGUGCUUGCAUCAUGAUUUACAUUUGAGUGAGUGGCGAACUGGUGAGUAACACGUGGGAAACCUGCCCAGAAGCGGGGGAUAACACCUGGAAACAGAUGCUAAUACCGCAUAACAACUUGGACCGCAUGGUCCGAGUUUGAAAGAUGGCUUCGGCUAUCACUUUUGGAUGGUCCCGCGGCGUAUUAGCUAGAUGGUGNGGUAACGGCUCACCAUGGCAAUGAUACGUAGCCGACCUGAGAGGGUAAUCGGCCACAUUGGGACUGAGACACGGCCCAAACUCCUACGGGAGGCAGCAGUAGGGAAUCUUCCACAAUGGACGAAAGUCUGAUGGAGCAACGCCGCGUGAGUGAAGAAGGGGUUUCGGCUCGUAAAACUUCUGUUGUUAAAGAAGAACAUAUCUGAGAGUAACUGUUUCAGGUAUUGACGGUAUUUAACCAGAAAGCCACGGGCUAACUACGUGCCAGCAGCCGCGGUAAUACGUAGGUGGCAAGCGUUGUCCGGAUUUAAUGGGCGUAAAGCGAGCGCAGGCGGGUUUUUUAAGUCUGAUGUGAAAGCCUUCGGCUCAACCGAAGAAGUGCAUCGGAAACUGGGAAACUUGAGUGCAGAAGAGGACAGUGGAACUCCAUGUGUAGCGGUGAAAUGCGUAGAUAUAUGGAAGAACACCAGUGGCGAAGGCGGCUGUCUGGUCUGUAACUGACGCUGAGGCUCGAAAGUAUGGGUAGCAAACAGGAUUAGAUACCCUGGUAGUCCAUACCGUAAACGAUGAAUGCUAAGUGUUGGAGGGUUUCCGCCCUUCAGUGCUGCAGCUAACGCAUUAAGCAUUCCGCCUGGGGAGUACGGCCGCAAGGCUGAAACUCAAAGGAAUUGACGGGGGCCCGCACAAGCGGUGGAGCAUGUGGUUUAAUUCGAAGCUACGCGAAGAACCUUACCAGGUCUUGACAUACUAUGCAAAUCUAAGAGAUUAGACGUUCCCUUCGGGGACAUGGAUACAGGUGGUGCAUGGUUGUCGUCAGCUCGUGUCGUGAGAUGUUGGGUUAAGUCCCGCAACGAGCGCAACCCUUAUUAUCAGUUGCCAGCAUUAAGUUGGGCACUCUGGUGAGACUGCCGGUGACAAACCGGAGGAAGGUGGGGAUGACGUCAAAUCAUCAUGCCCCUUAUGACCUGGGCUACACACGUGCUACAAUGGAUGGUACAACGAGUUGCGAACUCGCGAGAGUAAGCUAAUCUCUUAAAGCCAUUCUCAGUUCGGAUUGUAGGCUGCAACUCGCCUACAUGAAGUCGGAAUCGCUAGUAAUCGCGGAUCAGCANUGCCACCUCCUAGUUUGAUCAUGGCUCAGGGCUUUAGUUUAGAAGAUACGUGAAGAUGCUGGAAGGUAUGUCGUUAGCCAUGUGGGGUGCUCCUUUAUNCCUCC